RNAcentral lists this long non-coding RNA (1463 nucleotides) under Scleropages formosus (Asian bonytongue). Its description in RNAcentral is "lncRNA (ENSSFOG00015025595.1)". The record is from RNAcentral. Lineage: Eukaryota; Metazoa; Chordata; Actinopteri; Osteoglossiformes; Osteoglossidae.
CUGGGCCAUAGGGGCAGUAGCUUAUCUAAGAGCUGUCACUGAAGAUGGCCGUUGUGAAGUUGGAUUUGUCCUGGGAAAGGCAAAACUAUCACCGCAGCCGGAGCCCACAAUCCCACGCCUUGAGCUUUGUGGGGCCGUCCUGGCGGUUGAGAUAGCGGAGCUGAUCUUAGACGAACUGGACCACAAGCCGGACGCUGUACAAUUCUACUGCGACAGCAGGGUGGUCCUCGGAUACAUCUGUAAUGACUCAAAGCGAUUCUUUGUCUACGUACACAAUCGCGUGAAUCGCAUAUGCCAGACAACGUCCCCUGAGCAGUGGCAUUACGUCCCUUCAGAAGAGAACCCAGCCGACUUAGCCACCAGAUCUGUGGCUGCAUCACAGCUCAUGAACACAAUGUGGUUCAAGGGACCUGACUUCCUCUAUAAGCCUCCAAAGCCAGAGAAGCACGAGCACUUUGAACUGAUAGACCCUGAAAUGGACGUGGACGUCAGACCGCAAGUAACGGCUCUCGCUACCCACAUUGAAGCUAAGCGACUUGGCUCUGAAAGAUUCCAGCAUUUUUCCACAUGGAACUCCUUGUUGAGAGCUGUUUCCCUCUUGAUACAUCUGGCACGUUCCCACAAGUCAGGCUCCACCGACACAUCGCAGCACAUGUGUAAAGGAUGGCAUCAAUGUAGCAGGCCUCGCACUCCUGGAGAACUCGAGGCAGCCAGGAGGCUCAUACUAGAGUCUGUUCAAAGAGACACAUAUCCGAACGAAUAUGCUGCUCUUCAAGCAAACACAGAAGUCCCUAAUUCAAGUCCAAUCCUGACCCUUGACCCCUACAUCAGUGAUGGCCUCCUGAGGGUCGGAGGGCGUCUCAGACAUGCUUCCCUUGAAUCAGAGGUAAAAAACCCAAUCAUCCUCUCAAAGAAUAGCCAUGUUACCAAGCUGCUUGUGAAACACCAUCACAUGGAAGUGAAACACCAGGGGCGUCAGUUCACAGAAGGGGCCAUCAGAGCGGCUGGACUGUGGAUUGUUGCUGGCAAGAGGCUGAUGAGUUCUAUCCUUCAUCGCUGUGUAAUAUGCCGAAAGCUCAGGGGGAAGGUAGAAGUGCAAAAGAUGGCUGACCUCCCUCCGGAGCGGCUCAACACAUCUCCACCCUUCACGUACGUGGGGCUGGACAUAUUUGGACCAUGGUCGGUGGUCACUCGACGCACUCGUGGAGGUGCAGCGCAAAGCAAAAGGUGGGCUAUUCUGUUCACAUGUAUGAGUACCAGGGGAGUACACAUCGAAGUUAUAGAGUCUAUGGAUGCCACCAGCUGUAUCAAUGCAUUGCGGAGAUUCUUUGCAGUUAGAGGCCCCGCAAAGCAGCUUAGGUCAGACAGGGGGACUAACUUCGUCGCUGCCAGCGCGGAACUGGGCAUGGGGUGUCUUGAUGAGAGGCAGACCAGCAUCCUGAAGUAUCUCCACAGCAACGGCU